Molecule: ribosomal RNA, 519 nt
Filed under: uncultured bacterium
Lineage: Bacteria
Description: partial 16S ribosomal RNA
Rfam family: Bacterial small subunit ribosomal RNA
Source: RNAcentral
GACGAACGCUGACGGCGUGCUUAACACAUGCAAGUCGAACGGACUACUUUGCUUCGGUAAGGUGGUUAGUGGCGAACGGGUGAGUAACGCGUAGACAACCUACCUCUUAGAUGGGGACAACAUCGCGAAAGCGGUGCUAAUACCGAAUGAAGUGACUUUCCUGCAUGGGAGAGAUACUAAAGGUGGCCUCUAUUUAUAAGCUACCACUGAGAGAUGGGUCUGCGUCUGAUUAGCUAGUUGGCGGGGUAACGGCCCACCAAGGCGACGAUCAGUAGCCGGUCUGAGAGGCUGAACGUCCACAUUGGAACGGAGACCCAGCCCAAACUCCUACGUGAGGCAGCAGUGGGGAAUCUUCCGCAAUGGACGAAAGUCUGACGGAGCAACUCCGCGUGAGUGAAGAAGGUUUUCGGCUCGUAAAACUCUGUUGUUAAAGAAGAACGUAUCUAAGAGUAACUGCUUAGGUAGUGACGGUAUUUAACCAGAAAGCCACGGCUAACUACGUGCCAGCCGCCGCGGUAC